AGAGUUUGAUCCUGGCUCAGAAUGAACGCUGGCGGCGUGCCUAACACAUGCAAGUCGGGUGUGCCGCAAGGUGCAUGGCAGACGGGUGAGUAACGCGUGGGGAAUCUACCUCUUUGUGGGGAAUAACGCUCCGAAAGGAGUGGUAAUACCGCAUGAGACCGAGAGCUGGGAUGCAUUCGGUGAAACCUGGGGACCGUAAGGCCUGGGGCAAGGAGAGGAUCCUGCGUCUGAUUAGCUAGUUGGCGGGGUAAUGGCCCACCAAGGCAACGAUCAGUAGCCGGCCUGAGAGGGUGAUCGGCCACAUUGGAACUGAGACACGGUCCAAACUCCUACGGGAGGCAGCAGUGGGGAAUUUUGCGCAAUGGACGAAAGUCUGACGCAGCAACGCCGCGUGGGUGAUGAAGGUCUUCGG
This 412-nucleotide ribosomal RNA is filed under the name uncultured bacterium. RNAcentral describes it as "bacterial SSU rRNA". It matches the Rfam family "Bacterial small subunit ribosomal RNA", at positions 8 to 421 of the family's 1533-position model. The record is from RNAcentral.